This 1197-nucleotide ribosomal RNA is filed under the name Parascaris univalens. RNAcentral's name for it is "SSU rRNA". It matches the Rfam family "Eukaryotic small subunit ribosomal RNA", at positions 638 to 1761 of the family's 1831-position model. The record is from RNAcentral. Lineage: Eukaryota; Metazoa; Nematoda; Chromadorea; Rhabditida; Ascarididae.
ACGACGCUACCUCAUUGUGAUGCGGGACGCAUAAAACGCCUCAGAGCACUGCUCACCUCUAGAAGUUCGAAAAAAAACGGUUAGAUUGAAUUUAAACAUAAAUUCUGCGCCUCAGGAUCUGGUCCACCCACUGGGCGAGAACUGGGCUCCUGGGCUAGUUCUGCUGGUUUUCCCUACGUUGCCUUCAUCGGUCGCGUAGGGUGGCUAGCGAGUUUACUUUGAAAAAAUUAGAGUGCUUAACGCGGGCUUAUGUCUGAAUACUCGUGCAUGGAAUAAUAGAAUAGGAUCUCGGUUCUAUUUUGUUGGUUUUCUGAUCUGAGAUAAUGGUUAAGAGGGACGGACGGGGGCAUUCGUAUCGCUGCGUGAGAGGUGAAAUUCUUGGACCGUAGCGAGACGUCCGACUGCGAAAGCAUUUGCCAAGAAUGUCUUCAUUAAUCAAGAACGAAAGUCAGAGGUUCGAAGGCGAUCAGAUACCGCCCUAGUUCUGACCGUAAACGAUACCAACUAGCGUUCCGUCGGCGGUAAAUAUGCCUUGACGGGUAGCUUCCCGGAAACGAAAGUCUUUCGGUUCCGGGGGAAGUAUGGUUGCAAAGCUGAAACUUAAAGAAAUUGACGGAAGGGCACCACCAGGAGUGGAGCCUGCGGCUUAAUUUGACUCAACACGGGAAAACUCACCUGGCCCGGACACCGUAAGGAUUGACAGAUUGAGAGCUCUUUCUUGAUUCGGUGGUUGGUGGUGCAUGGCCGUUCUUAGUUGGUGGAGUGAUUUGUCUGGUUUAUUCCGAUAACGAGCGAGACUCUAGCCUAUUAAAUAGUCAUCGGAUAAACAAGUCCGGAAGACUUCUUAGAGGGACAAGCGGUAUACAGCCGCAUGAAGUUGAGCAAUAACAGGUCUGUGAUGCCCUUAGAUGUCCAGGGCUGCACGCGCGCUACACUGGAGGAAUCAGCGUGCUGUAACCAUUGCCGAAAGGUAUUGGUAACCCCUUGAAAAUCCUCCGUGAUCGGGAUCGGGAAUUGCAAUUAUUUCCCUUGAACGAGGAAUUCCUAGUAAGUGUGAGUCAUCAGCUCACGUUGAUUACGUCCCUGCCCUUUGUACACACCGCCCGUCGCUGCCCGGGACUGAGCCGUUUCGAGAAAAGCGGGGACUGCUGUUUCGAGACCUUUCGAGGUGGAGAUUCUUUGGUGGAAACCGCCUUA